This 246-nucleotide long non-coding RNA is filed under the name Hordeum vulgare. Its description in RNAcentral is "long non-coding RNA (HVUL_LNC016768)". The record is from RNAcentral. Lineage: Eukaryota; Viridiplantae; Streptophyta; Magnoliopsida; Poales; Poaceae.
GGGCGGGGUUGUCGGCGGCCGCGGCGGCGGGGGCGUCGGGGGACGGCGAGCGGUGGUCCGCUGCCGCCUUGCUCUUGCGGCCGCGCUUGCGCUUGCCCUUGGAGGCGGAGCCAUCCAUGGUGGGGGCGGGCUAGGGUUUCGCGGCGCCGCGAGCAGGGGGGGCGGGCCGAGGAGGACGAUGAGGAGGAGGCCGGCUGGGUGGCUCGGUCGGAGUGUUAUGAAGAGCCGUCCGGUUCGACCCGGGAC